Molecule: long non-coding RNA, 913 nt
Filed under: Capsella rubella
Lineage: Eukaryota; Viridiplantae; Streptophyta; Magnoliopsida; Brassicales; Brassicaceae
Description: long non-coding RNA (CRUB_LNC001058)
Source: RNAcentral
UUGACCUGACCGCAAUUGGUUGACUCUGCAUUUACACCAUCUCACGACCCUGAACCGGUUUUGGUGCUCUUUUAAUAUGUCUUUAUCAAAUGCAUACUUAUAUAUAUAUUUGGUUGCUUUCUUUGACGGUCAUAAAUCAUAAUAUUUGUUUUAUUAAAUCAUAGUAGUGAGGUGUUCAAAAAGAAAAUAAAAAAAUAAAAAAUCAUAGUAGUGAAUUCUUAUUUAUAAGAGCAUCUCCAAAGGGAGAUGCCUAUUUUGAAGUGUUAAACAAAUUUUUAUUAAAUUUAAUGAUUAAUUUGAAUUUGUUGAACUCUUAAAAAAUAAUUGAUUUUUCUUCUUCCAAUGGUGAACUCUAAUAAAGUGUUUUCUUCAAGUUGGCUAUUGGAAUUUGGGAAUCGUCUCUUUUCAUUUGCAUUAUCACAAAGCUUCUGUUUCUAGCUUCUUUGGUGUUUUAUUAUAUCUGUGACGAGGGAUACGGUGUAUGAACACUAAUCGUUUUUGUUAUCUCUGUAUUUUGUUACGAGGGAUAUGAUGUUUGUCUGACGAAAUCAAAAUAUAUUGAAUGGCUUUGUUUGUCUCUGUUUCUCUUCCCAGACCAAGAAUGCAAAACCUUUUUUUUUCUUUUUCCUUCUUUACAAUUAUAAACCAAUAAUAACGUGACACGUGGCUUUAAGGAGUGGCCCUUAAACUUGUUAAUUUAGCAUCGCUCCUAAACAUUAAACCAUUUAUUGAUUUAUUUUUAAUCACCCAAAAUCUUUAUCACCUCCAUAAUUUUUAUUAAACAUCUCCCUUUGGAGAUGGUCUAAAGAUGUUUGGACCACUGAAAAUCGAUUUAACCACAACUUUUCUUAAUCAUUUUAACUUUUGCACUAUCAUAAUCGUAAACAUAUACAUUAUUUAAAGUUUAGUGACC